GAUGAAUGCUGGCGGCGUGCCUAACACAUGCAAGUCGAGCGGCAGCGAGGGGUGCUUGCACCCUGUCGGCGAGCGGCGAACGGCUGAGUAACGCGUAGGAAUUUGCCCCAAAGUGAGGAAUAACUGCCCGAAAGGGUAGCUAAUGCCGCAUAUGGUCUUCGGAUUAAAGGAUUUAUCCGCUUUGGGAGAAGCCUGCGUUGGAUUAGGUUGUUGGUAGGGUAAUGGCCUACCAAGCCGACGAUCCAUAGCUGGUCUGAGAGGAUGAUCAGCCAGACUGGAACUGCGACACGGUCCAGAAUCCUACGGGAAGCAGCAGUGAGGAAUCUUCCACAAUGGGCGAAAGCCUGAUGGAGCAACGCCGCGUGAAGGAUGAAGGCCUUCGGGUUGUAAACUUCUUUUAUGAGUGAAGAAUAUGACGGUAACUCGUGAAUAAGCACCGGCUAACUACGUG
RNAcentral lists this ribosomal RNA (451 nucleotides) under uncultured bacterium. RNAcentral describes it as "partial 16S ribosomal RNA". It matches the Rfam family "Bacterial small subunit ribosomal RNA", at positions 28 to 507 of the family's 1533-position model. The record is from RNAcentral.